This 204-nucleotide ribosomal RNA is filed under the name uncultured ammonia-oxidizing archaeon. RNAcentral describes it as "partial 16S ribosomal RNA". It matches the Rfam family "Archaeal small subunit ribosomal RNA", at positions 471 to 675 of the family's 1478-position model. The record is from RNAcentral.
UAAUACCAGCACCCCGAGUGGUCGGGACGAUUAUUGGGCCUAAAGCAUCCGUAGCCGGUUCUUUAAGUCCUCCGUUAAAUCCAUCUGCUUAACAGAUGGGCUGCGGAGGAUACUAUUGAGCUAGGAGGCGGGAGAGGCAAGCGGUACUCAGUGGGUAGGGGUAAAAUCCGUUGAUCCAUUGAAGACCACCAGUGGCGAAGGCGG